This 497-nucleotide ribosomal RNA is filed under the name uncultured bacterium. Its description in RNAcentral is "partial 16S ribosomal RNA". It matches the Rfam family "Bacterial small subunit ribosomal RNA", at positions 28 to 507 of the family's 1533-position model. The record is from RNAcentral.
GAUGAACGCUGGCGGCGUGCCUAAUACAUGCAAGUCGAGCGAACAGACGAGGAGCUUGCUCCUCUGACGUUAGCGGCGGACGGGUGAGUAACACGUGGAUAACCUACCUAUAAGACUGGGAUAACUUCGGGAAACCGGAGCUAAUACCGGAUAAUAUAUUGAACCGCAUGGUUCAAUAGUGAAAGACGGUUUUGCUGUCACUUAUAGAUGGAUCCGCGCCGCAUUAGCUAGUUGGUAAGGUAACGGCUUACCAAGGCGACGAUGCGUAGCCGACCUGAGAGGGUGAUCGGCCACACUGGAACUGAGACACGGUCCAGACUCCUACGGGGGGCAGCAGUAGGGAAUCGUCCGCAAUGGGCGAAAGCCUGACGGAGCAACGCCGCGUGAGUUAUGAAGGUCUUCGGAUCGUAAAACUCUGUUAUUAGGGAAGAACAAAUGUGUAAGUAACUAUGCACGUCUUGACGGUACCUAAUCAGAAAGCCACGGCUAACUACGUG